GAUAAACGCUGGCGGCGUGCCUUAUGCAUGCAAGUCGCGCGACGAAACCGGCUUCGGCCGGCGGAAAGCGGCGAACGGGUGAGUAACACGUAGGAACCUGCCCAGAAGUGGGGGACAACUUCCGGAAACGGAAGCUAAUACCGCAUACGGUCUACAGACCAAAGCCUUCGGGCGCUUCUGGAGGGGCCUGCGGUGGAUUAGCUAGUUGGUGGGGUAACGGCCUACCAAGGCGACGAUCUAUAGCUGGCCUGAGAGGGUGGUCAGCCACACUGGGACUGAGACACGGCCCAGACUCCUACGGGAGGCAGCAGCAAGGAAUUUUGCGCAAUGGGCGAAAGCCUGACGCGGCAACGCCGCGUGGGGGAAGAAGGCCUUCGGGUUGUAAACUCCUUUUGCGAGGGACGAAGAUCUGACGGUACCUCGCGAAUAAGCCACGGCUAACUACGUGCCAGCAGCCGCGGUAAUACGUAGGUGGCGAGCGUUGUCCGGAUUUACUGGGCGUAAAGCGCGCGCAGGCGGGCUGAUCAGUCCGGGGUGAAAUCUCACGGCUUAACUGUGAGGGGUCCCCGGAUACUGUCAGCCUUGAGGUGCCUAGAGGAGAGUGGAAUUCCCGGUGUAGUGGUGGAAUGCGUAGAUAUCGGGAGGAACACCAGUGGCGAAAGCGGCUCUCUGGGGGCAACCUGACGCUGAGGCGCGAAAGCGUGGGGAGCGAACCGGAUUAGAUACCCGGGUAGUCCACGCCGCAAACGAUGAGCACUAGCUGUCGGGGGUAUCGACCCCCUCGGUAGCGCAGCUAACGCGUUAAGUGCUCCGCCUGGGGACUACGGCCGCAAGGCUAAAACUCAAAGGAAUUGACGG
Molecule: ribosomal RNA, 858 nt
Filed under: uncultured Chloroflexota bacterium
Lineage: Bacteria; Bacillati; Chloroflexota
Description: bacterial SSU rRNA
Rfam family: Bacterial small subunit ribosomal RNA
Source: RNAcentral